Molecule: ribosomal RNA, 177 nt
Filed under: uncultured bacterium
Lineage: Bacteria
Description: partial 16S ribosomal RNA
Rfam family: Bacterial small subunit ribosomal RNA
Source: RNAcentral
AUCGUACGGGAGGCAGCAGUGGGGAAUAUGGACAAUGGGGGCAACCCUGAUCCAGCAAUUCUGUGUGCACGAAGACGGUUUUCGGAUUGUAAAGUGCUUUCAGCAGGGAAGAAGGAAGUGACGGCACCUGCAGAAGAAGCGACGGCUAAAUACGUGCCAGCAGCCGCGGUAAUCGAU